This 73-nucleotide transfer RNA is filed under the name Stegodyphus mimosarum. It matches the Rfam family "tRNA". Rfam says of the family: Transfer RNA (tRNA) molecules are approximately 80 nucleotides in length. Their secondary structure includes four short double-helical elements and three loops (D, anti-codon, and T loops). Lineage: Eukaryota; Metazoa; Arthropoda; Arachnida; Araneae; Eresidae. The record is from Rfam by way of RNAcentral.
GCCUUCGUGGUGUAACGGUUAACGCACUAGUUGCGUAUGCGAGAGGUCCAAGGUUCGAGUCCUGGCGAAGGCA